RNAcentral lists this long non-coding RNA (600 nucleotides) under Olea europaea subsp. europaea. Lineage: Eukaryota; Viridiplantae; Streptophyta; Magnoliopsida; Lamiales; Oleaceae. The record is from RNAcentral.
UUUGUUACAACUCUAAACCUUGUGCGACCCAGACAGCAAUCUGGUACAAUGUUUUCCACUCUAAAUGGCCUUCUGAAUUGGGUGAUCCAUUCUUGUACAUUAGUUUGUCUAAUGAUUUAUUGGGCAUAAAUUCAUAAACUAAUGCUCUUCUAUUUCUCUCAUAACAAAAUCCUAAGAGAUUGACAAUAUUGGCAUGAGAAGUUCUAUUGAUGCUACCAACUUCAUUCAUGAAGUCUUCUCCACUUCCUUUUACCUCAUUUAAAACCUUGACAGCAAUGAAUCGACCAUUAGGUAGCAUUCCUUUGUACACACUACCAUAUCUUCCUUGACUAAGCUUAUCAGAGAAGGAUUUCGUUAUAUUUUUAAUUUCCAAGUAAUUAUAUAUUUUCGGAGCAAGCGAUCCGUGCUUUAGUAAAAAUGUUUCCACUUUUUGAUUGUUUUCCUGUAUCGACUCCCAUGACGAAGGUAGCAGAAUAUGAUGAUGGACGAUGUAAUGAUAACAGGCAUGCUGAGUGACACCUCUACGUGCAAAGACUGGAGAUAGGACACAGAAUUCCCUAAUCGAGCAAUUGUAGGGGGCUUCAUCCCGAAAGAUAGUCA